This 936-nucleotide ribosomal RNA is filed under the name Klebsiella pneumoniae. RNAcentral's name for it is "partial 23S ribosomal RNA". It matches the Rfam family "Bacterial large subunit ribosomal RNA", at positions 419 to 1357 of the family's 2925-position model. Lineage: Bacteria; Pseudomonadati; Pseudomonadota; Gammaproteobacteria; Enterobacterales; Enterobacteriaceae. The record is from RNAcentral.
GGGACACGUGGUAUCCUGUCUGAAUAUGGGGGGACCAUCCUCCAAGGCUAAAUACUCCUGACUGACCGAUAGUGAACCAGUACCGUGAGGGAAAGGCGAAAAGAACCCCGGCGAGGGGAGUGAAAAAGAACCUGAAACCGUGUACGUACAAGCAGUGGGAGCACCUUCGGGUGUGACUGCGUACCUUUUGUAUAAUGGGUCAGCGACUUAUAUUCUGUAGCAAGGUUAACCGUAUAGGGGAGCCGCAGGGAAACCGAGUCUUAACUGGGCGUUAAGUUGCAGGGUAUAGACCCGAAACCCGGUGAUCUAGCCAUGGGCAGGUUGAAGGUUGGGUAACACUAACUGGAGGACCGAACCGACUAAUGUUGAAAAAUUAGCGGAUGACUUGUGGCUGGGGGUGAAAGGCCAAUCAAACCGGGAGAUAGCUGGUUCUCCCCGAAAGCUAUUUAGGUAGCGCCUCGUGAAUUCAUCUUCGGGGGUAGAGCACUGUUUCGGCUAGGGGGUCAUCCCGACUUACCAACCCGAUGCAAACUACGAAUACCGAAGAAUGUUAUCACGGGAGACACACGGCGGGUGCUAACGUCCGUCGUGAAGAGGGAAACAACCCAGACCGCCAGCUAAGGUCCCAAAGUCAUGGUUAAGUGGGAAACGAUGUGGGAAGGCACAGACAGCCAGGAUGUUGGCUUAGAAGCAGCCAUCAUUUAAAGAAAGCGUAAUAGCUCACUGGUCGAGUCGGCCUGCGCGGAAGAUGUAACGGGGCUAAACCAUGCACCGAAGCUGCGGCAGCGACACUAUGUGUUGUUGGGUAGGGGAGCGUUCUGUAAGCCUGCGAAGGUGACCUGUGAGGGUUGCUGGAGGUAUCAGAAGUGCGAAUGCUGACAUAAGUAACGAUAAAGCGGGUGAAAAGCCCGCUCGCCGGAAGACCAAGGGUUCCUG